RNAcentral lists this ribosomal RNA (466 nucleotides) under uncultured bacterium. RNAcentral describes it as "bacterial SSU rRNA". It matches the Rfam family "Bacterial small subunit ribosomal RNA", at positions 355 to 825 of the family's 1533-position model. The record is from RNAcentral.
UAGGGAAUAUUGGGCAAUGGAGGGAACUCUGACCCAGCCAUGCCGCGUGCAGGAUGAAGGCGUUAUGCGUUGUAAACUGCUUUUAUAUAGGAAGAAAUAGUCCUUGCGAGGAAAGUUGACGGUACUAUAUGAAUAAGCACCGGCUAACUCCGUGCCAGCAGCCGCGGUAAUACGGAGGGUGCAAGCGUUGUCCGGAUUUAUUGGAUUUAAAGGGUGCGUAGGCGGUUUAUUAAGUCAGUGGUGAAAGACGGUCGCUCAACGAUUGCAGUGCCAUUGAUACUGGUAGACUUGAGUAUGAUUGAGGUAGCUGGAAUGGAUAGUGUAGCGGUGAAAUGCAUAGAUAUUAUCCAGAACACCAAUUGCGUAGGCAAGUUACUAAGUCAUAACUGACGCUGAGGCACGAAAGUGUGGGUAUCAAACAGGAUUAGAUACCCCGGUAGUCCCUGAGCGGGCUGGCAAGGCGCAU